Molecule: ribosomal RNA, 447 nt
Filed under: uncultured bacterium
Lineage: Bacteria
Description: SSU rRNA
Rfam family: Bacterial small subunit ribosomal RNA
Source: RNAcentral
AGAACGAACGCUGGCGGCAGGCCUCAAACAUGCAAGUCUAGGGGGUGUAGCAAUACAUCACCGGCGGACGGGUGCGUAACACGUGGGAAUAUACCUUUUGGUUCGGAACAACGCAGGGAAACUUGCGCUAAUACCGAAUGUGCCCUUACGGGGAAAGAUUUAUCGCCAAAGGAUUAGCCCGCGUCCGAUUAGCUAGUUGGUGAGGUAAUGGCUCACCAAGGCUCCGAUCGGUAGCUGUUCUGAGAGGAAGAUCAGCCACACUGGGACUGAGACACGGCCCAGACUCCUACGGGAGGCAGCAGUUGGGAAUCUUGGACAAUGGGGAAACCCUGAUCCAGCCAUGCCGCGUGAGUGAUGAAGGCCUUCGGGUUGUAAAACUCUUUCGGACGGGACGAUAAUGACGGUACCCGUAGAAGAAGCUCCGGCUAACUUCGCGCCAGCAGCCGC